This 2900-nucleotide ribosomal RNA is filed under the name Klebsiella pneumoniae. RNAcentral's name for it is "bacterial LSU rRNA". It matches the Rfam family "Bacterial large subunit ribosomal RNA". Lineage: Bacteria; Pseudomonadati; Pseudomonadota; Gammaproteobacteria; Enterobacterales; Enterobacteriaceae. The record is from RNAcentral.
UUAAGCGACUAAGCGUACACGGUGGAUGCCCUGGCAGUCAGAGGCGAUGAAGGACGUGCUAAUCUGCGAAAAGCGUCGGUAAGGUGAUAUGAACCGUUAUAGCCGGCGAUGUCCGAAUGGGGAAACCCAGUGCAAUUCGUUGCACUAUCGUUAACUGAAUACAUAGGUUAACGAGGCGAACCGGGGGAACUGAAACAUCUAAGUACCCCGAGGAAAAGAAAUCAACCGAGAUUCCCCCAGUAGCGGCGAGCGAACGGGGAGCAGCCCAGAGUCUGAAUCAGCUUGUGUGUUAGUGGAACGGUCUGGAAAGUCCGACGGUACAGGGUGAUAGUCCCGUACACCAAAAUGCACAGGUUGUGAACUCGAAGAGUAGGGCGGGACACGUGGUAUCCUGUCUGAAUAUGGGGGGACCAUCCUCCAAGGCUAAAUACUCCUGACUGACCGAUAGUGAACCAGUACCGUGAGGGAAAGGCGAAAAGAACCCCGGCGAGGGGAGUGAAAAAGAACCUGAAACCGUGUACGUACAAGCAGUGGGAGCACCUUCGGGUGUGACUGCGUACCUUUUGUAUAAUGGGUCAGCGACUUAUAUUCUGUAGCAAGGUUAACCGUAUAGGGGAGCCGCAGGGAAACCGAGUCUUAACUGGGCGUUAAGUUGCAGGGUAUAGACCCGAAACCCGGUGAUCUAGCCAUGGGCAGGUUGAAGGUUGGGUAACACUAACUGGAGGACCGAACCGACUAAUGUUGAAAAAUUAGCGGAUGACUUGUGGCUGGGGGUGAAAGGCCAAUCAAACCGGGAGAUAGCUGGUUCUCCCCGAAAGCUAUUUAGGUAGCGCCUCGUGAACUCAUCUUCGGGGGUAGAGCACUGUUUCGGCUAGGGGGUCAUCCCGACUUACCAACCCGAUGCAAACUACGAAUACCGAAGAAUGUUAUCACGGGAGACACACGGCGGGUGCUAACGUCCGUCGUGAAGAGGGAAACAACCCAGACCGCCAGCUAAGGUCCCAAAGUCAUGGUUAAGUGGGAAACGAUGUGGGAAGGCACAGACAGCCAGGAUGUUGGCUUAGAAGCAGCCAUCAUUUAAAGAAAGCGUAAUAGCUCACUGGUCGAGUCGGCCUGCGCGGAAGAUGUAACGGGGCUAAACCAUGCACCGAAGCUGCGGCAGCGACACUAUGUGUUGUUGGGUAGGGGAGCGUUCUGUAAGCCUGCGAAGGUGUGCUGUGAGGCAUGCUGGAGGUAUCAGAAGUGCGAAUGCUGACAUAAGUAACGAUAAAGCGGGUGAAAAGCCCGCUCGCCGGAAGACCAAGGGUUCCUGUCCAACGUUAAUCGGGGCAGGGUGAGUCGACCCCUAAGGCGAGGCCGAAAGGCGUAGUCGAUGGGAAACAGGUUAAUAUUCCUGUACUUGGUGUUACUGCGAAGGGGGGACGGAGAAGGCUAUGUUAGCCGGGCGACGGUUGUCCCGGUUUAAGCAUGUAGGCUGGUUGUCCAGGCAAAUCCGGAUAAUCAAGGCUGAGGUGUGAUGACGAGGCACUACGGUGCUGAAGUAACAAAUGCCCUGCUUCCAGGAAAAGCCUCUAAGCAUCAGGUAACAUCAAAUCGUACCCCAAACCGACACAGGUGGUCAGGUAGAGAAUACCAAGGCGCUUGAGAGAACUCGGGUGAAGGAACUAGGCAAAAUGGUGCCGUAACUUCGGGAGAAGGCACGCUGGUGUGUAGGUGAAGUCCCUGCGGAUGGAGCUGAGACCAGUCGAAGAUACCAGCUGGCUGCAACUGUUUAUUAAAAACACAGCACUGUGCAAACACGAAAGUGGACGUAUACGGUGUGACGCCUGCCCGGUGCCGGAAGGUUAAUUGAUGGGGUUAUCCGUAAGGAGAAGCUCUUGAUCGAAGCCCCGGUAAACGGCGGCCGUAACUAUAACGGUCCUAAGGUAGCGAAAUUCCUUGUCGGGUAAGUUCCGACCUGCACGAAUGGCGUAAUGAUGGCCAGGCUGUCUCCACCCGAGACUCAGUGAAAUUGAACUCGCUGUGAAGAUGCAGUGUACCCGCGGCAAGACGGAAAGACCCCGUGAACCUUUACUAUAGCUUGACACUGAACAUUGAGCCUUGAUGUGUAGGAUAGGUGGGAGGCUUUGAAGCGUGGACGCCAGUCUGCGUGGAGCCAACCUUGAAAUACCACCCUUUAAUGUUUGAUGUUCUAACGUUGGCCCCUGACCGGGGUUGCGGACAGUGUCUGGUGGGUAGUUUGACUGGGGCGGUCUCCUCCCAAAGCGUAACGGAGGAGCACGAAGGUUAGCUAAUCCUGGUCGGACAUCAGGAGGUUAGUGCAAUGGCAUAAGCUAGCUUGACUGCGAGCGUGACGGCGCGAGCAGGUGCGAAAGCAGGUCAUAGUGAUCCGGUGGUUCUGAAUGGAAGGGCCAUCGCUCAACGGAUAAAAGGUACUCCGGGGAUAACAGGCUGAUACCGCCCAAGAGUUCAUAUCGACGGCGGUGUUUGGCACCUCGAUGUCGGCUCAUCACAUCCUGGGGCUGAAGUAGGUCCCAAGGGUAUGGCUGUUCGCCAUUUAAAGUGGUACGCGAGCUGGGUUUAGAACGUCGUGAGACAGUUCGGUCCCUAUCUGCCGUGGGCGCUGGAGAAUUGAGGGGGGCUGCUCCUAGUACGAGAGGACCGGAGUGGACGCAUCACUGGUGUUCGGGUUGUCAUGCCAAUGGCACUGCCCGGUAGCUAAAUGCGGAAGAGAUAAGUGCUGAAAGCAUCUAAGCACGAAACUUGCCCCGAGAUGAGUUCUCCCUGAGACUUUAAGUCUCCUGAAGGAACGUUGAAGACGACGACGUUGAUAGGCCGGGUGUGUAAGCGCAGCGAUGCGUUGAGCUAACCGGUACUAAUGAACCGUGAGGCUUAACCUU